GACGAACGCUGGCGGCGCGCUUAACACAUGCAAGUCGAACGGAAAGGCCUGCUUUCCCUUGUGGAUUGCGGGUACUCGAGUGGCGAACGGGUGAGUAACACGUGAGUGAUCUGCCCCCAACUUGGGUAUAAGCCUGGGAAACUGGGUCUAAUUCCCGAUAGGACUGCAGGGUGGUGCCUGUGGUGGAAAACGAUUUUCUAGUGGUUGGGGAUGAGCUCGCGGCCUAUCAGCUUGUUGGUGGGGUAAUGGCCUACCAGGGCGGGGACGGGUAGCCGGCCGGGGAGGGUGGACGGCCACAUUGGGACGGAGAUACGGCCCAGACUCCUACGGGAGGCAGCAGUGGGGAAGAUUGGACAAGGGGGGGAAGCCUGAUGCAGCGACGCCGCGGGGGGGAUGACGGCCUUCGGGUUGUAAACUCCUUUCGACCGCGAGGAAGCCACCUGGUUGGAAGGGUGGUGACGGUAGUGGUAGAAGAAGCACCGGCUAACUACGUG
RNAcentral lists this ribosomal RNA (494 nucleotides) under uncultured bacterium. RNAcentral describes it as "partial 16S ribosomal RNA". It matches the Rfam family "Bacterial small subunit ribosomal RNA", at positions 28 to 507 of the family's 1533-position model. The record is from RNAcentral.